AGCAGCCGCGGUAAUUCCAGCUCCAAUAGCGUAUAUUAAAGUUGUUGCAGUUAAAAAGCUCGUAGUUGAAUUUCGGGAUCAAUAUAUCGGUCGUGCCAUUGGUACGUACUGGUAUCAUUGGUUUCUCCUUUCUGACGAACCAUGAUGUCAUUAAUUUGGUGUUAUGGGAAGUUAGGACUGUUACUUUGAAAAAAUUAGAGUGUUUAAAGCAGGCUUUAGCUUGAAUACAUUAGCAUGGAAUAAUGAAAUAGGACGUUCGAACCUAUUUUGUUGGUUUCUAGGAUCAACGUAAUGAUUAAUAGGGAUAGUUGGGGGCAUUAGUAUUCAAUUGUCAGAGGUGAAAUUCUUGGAUUUAUUGAAGACUAACUACUGCGAAAGCAUUUGACAAGGAUGUUUUCAUUAAUCAAGAACGAAAGUUAGGGGAUCGAAGACGAUCAGAUACCCGUCGUAGUCUUAACCAUAAACUAUGCCGACUAGGGAUCGGAUGAUGUUAAUUUUUAAUGACUCAUUCGGCGCCUUA
Molecule: ribosomal RNA, 520 nt
Filed under: uncultured Glomus
Lineage: Eukaryota; Fungi; Glomeromycota; Glomeromycetes; Glomerales; Glomeraceae
Description: SSU rRNA
Rfam family: Eukaryotic small subunit ribosomal RNA
Source: RNAcentral